CAACACUUCUGACUCCUCCCAUUUCCACGUUGACUUUCGCACAGUACCGUUCCAAGUUACGCGUUCCAUGUAUAAGAAUAUACGAUUAUCGAUCGAAAUCGAAAACUGUUUAUUUACAUUAUCACCAUAAGAAAAUGAUUUCAGAAUCGGAGAGUGGCAAAAGUUGUGAGGAAGAACAAGACGUAGCAAGGAGGAGGCUGGAUGAAGCUUUGAUACAAAAGAAAAAACAGUUCCAGAAUUUAAGGAACAUUAAAGGAAGAACAGUAAAACGCCGAGAUACGGAUCAACAACAGAGACUUACUGCGUUCAAGGAGUCUUACAAAGGGAAAAAGAGGUACCUCAAAGAAACAAUCCAUGGUCGGUUCUUGAGUGGUAAAACCAUUGGAACUCCUUCGACCAAAGACCACAGGACAAUCUAGAUCGCAGGAAGUCUCACUGCCAUAUAAGUAUUGGUUCUAAGAUUAAUAAGAUGGCAGAGAAUUACAAUGCCUCAGUAAUUUGCUUAAUCCGUUACCCCAAUGGAACUCAACACACCAAGUAUGUGUUAGUAAGCGGAGGUGGAAUUAAAUAUUCCAAAUAAAGAGAUGGUCUUCUAAGUGAACAACUCUGGCAUCGAUAUUGGAACAAAAAACAAAAGAAACGACAACAGUUAUGUGAGGAGAAUGGUCUGUGGCUUUGGAGAGCCAGUAAAAGAAAAAGAAAAGAGAGAACCUAGGAAAGGACAGAGAAAGAGAAAAGUAUGCAAUCAGAUUUAGAGAGACUAGAGAAAAAGAAGACAAGGAAGUAUGGGGCAAUCGAAUGGGGAAACAGAGAAAGAAAAAAAGACAAUCCGAUAACGAGAGCGUAGAAAGUGAAGAAGAAAACAAUGAACGAUUGGACAGCGGAAUAGAGAAUCAGGACAAACACGUAAUGAGAGCGUAGAGAGCGACGAAGAAAACGAUGAAAGAUUGGACAGGGGAAUAUGGAAUCAUAAUAAGAUUUA
Daphnia magna is the source of this 982-nucleotide long non-coding RNA. RefSeq lists it as uncharacterized. The record is from RefSeq and is a predicted model, not a curated record. The transcript has 5 exons. Lineage: Eukaryota; Metazoa; Arthropoda; Branchiopoda; Diplostraca; Daphniidae.